RNAcentral lists this transfer RNA (93 nucleotides) under bacterium. Its description in RNAcentral is "tRNA-Ser". It matches the Rfam family "tRNA". From Rfam's summary of the family: Transfer RNA (tRNA) molecules are approximately 80 nucleotides in length. Their secondary structure includes four short double-helical elements and three loops (D, anti-codon, and T loops). The record is from RNAcentral.
GGAAGGUUGGCAGAGUCUGGCUAAAUGCACCAGUUUUGAAAACUGGAGGACCUUUAUUGUGUUCCGUGGGUUCGAAUCCCACACCUUCCUCCA